AACCGAACCGUUAGUCACUCGAUCGCGUUUGGUUGCAUCAUAACCAGCUUAAAACCUUUCUCCAUCGCAUCGACUCUGCAGUGCAUUCUGGUCGAUAAAACUUCACCACACGAUCCGAAGAACCAAACAACAUGGCCGGCUAUAACACAGAGUACAACAACACCAACAAUACAACAUUUUCCAGACCAAAUAUGAGUUAUCCAGUUCCCCCAAGUAGUGAUAAUAAUGAAGGAAAAUUGUUUGUUGGUGGAUUAGCCUGGGACACAACUGAAGAGUCUCUACGAAACUAUUUUGAGAAGUUUGGUGAAGUUGAAAGCGUCAAUUUAAAACGAAACAAAGAGGAUUUAAACAAACAUAGAGGCUUUGCAUUUGUAAAAUUUGUUACACAAGAAUCUGCUGAUGAAGUUCUCAACCAGGCUGAACCUCAUAUAUUAGAUGGAUCUAAAAUUGAUCCAAAGUCUGCAUGUCCAAUGGGAGUUAAACCUGAACAACGAACUAAAAAAAUAUUUGUUGGUGGCUUGCAAACAGAAACAACAGAAGAAAAACUUAGAGAAUAUUUCUCACAAUUUGGUGAAAUUAAAAAUAAUAUUGAAUUUGCUGUCGACCACAAUACUAAAAAACGAAGAGGUUUUUGCUUCAUCGAAUUUGCUAAUGAAAGUGUUGUUGACAAAAUUGUUAAAGAUAAAUUCCACGAAAUAGCCGGAAGAAGACUUGAAACAAAACGUGCUCUUAGUAAACAGCAGCAGGAGGAGAUGAAAGAUGCUGGCUUACUUGGCAGUCGUUACAGAGGUGGAAAUCCUGCAAUACCUGGUUAUCCUGGUAUGUCUGUACCUCCAUAUCCAUCACCAUAUGCUCAACCUGUCAUUUACAUUCACCCUGAUAGUCUUUCUACUGCUUAUCCAAGUGCUGCUCUUGGUGGUAUAUCAGGUAUGACUGGAGCUUACCCCCAUCUUCAAGGUGGAUACACGCAAUCACCUAUGGAAUCAUUGUAUACACCCUAUGGAGGACGAGAUGUUAGACAUGUUGGUUAUCCUGUGUGGAGAUUUCAUCCGCCACGCCUUUCCAAAGGGUCCUACUCUUAGCGACCUUUUUUUAUAUCAAUCCUUUCCCCCUUUACACUCUAUAAAAAAUAACGUACUUAAUUUCUUCAUAAAAAUGCACUAUAUAGUUAUAUACAACUAUAAAAUGUGGGUUUAUGUAAUAGUUAAUCGCUGUUUAAUAACCCAUUUGUGUGUACUUAAUAUUAAUUUUUUUUUUUUUUUUUCUGUAGAUAAUAUUGUGAGUUGUACAUUUAUAAUCUCCUUUUUUUUAAGUUAUAGGUGUAAAUUUAAUCUAUUUAUUACAUGUCCAAAAAGCUGAAAUCCACAAAAUAUUUCAAUGAUGCUUUUUAUAUAUCGUUACCAAAUAAAAUAUUUUUCUCUGAUGGGUUUCGGUUUUAUGGACCUUUUCUAGCAAAUCUGUAUAUAUGCAACAUAAUGUUUGCAUAGAGAAAUCAACUCCAAAAAAUAUAAAGCUUUAUAACUUUGUAAGAUUUAUGUGUAUAAAGUAUACAUAUAUACGUUGAGAAUUAUUUAAUUGCGACUGUUUUUACAUAAAAUUCCUGUACAUAUGGCUAUUUUUCUACAUGUAUAUUAUACAAAUAAUAAUUUAAAUGGUAAAUUAUUAAUGUGUCAUAAAAGUUAUAAUUUUAAAUAUCCGCUAAAUAUCCCUCAAUUCUACCCUUUUCCCCUAAAAAUAUUCGACGAAUAAUGGACGAUGCAUUACUCGAGUAUUGGCAUAGGAUUGGCUACUUAAGUUCAGUGGGCAACCAGCACGUGGCACUGUACCAUCAGCUUACGCUAAAAGACCUGAACCCUAUCCAAGGAAGUUUUAAAUUUAUAUGGCUUACUUGAUUAGCUAACAUUUUUAUUACAUAAUAA
This is an RNA transcript of Hydra vulgaris (swiftwater hydra), 1919 nucleotides long. It is a transcript of the gene named heterogeneous nuclear ribonucleoprotein A/B, with no coding region annotated. Lineage: Eukaryota; Metazoa; Cnidaria; Hydrozoa; Anthoathecata; Hydridae. The record is from RefSeq and is a predicted model, not a curated record.